RNAcentral lists this transfer RNA (73 nucleotides) under Dictyocaulus viviparus (bovine lungworm). It matches the Rfam family "tRNA". Rfam says of the family: Transfer RNA (tRNA) molecules are approximately 80 nucleotides in length. Their secondary structure includes four short double-helical elements and three loops (D, anti-codon, and T loops). Further hydrogen bonds mediate the characteristic L-shaped molecular structure. tRNAs have two regions of fundamental functional importance: the anti-codon, which is responsible for specific mRNA codon recognition, and the 3' end, to which the tRNAs corresponding amino acid is attached (by aminoacyl-tRNA synthetases). tRNAs cope with the degeneracy of the genetic code in two manners: having more than one tRNA (with a specific anti-codon) for a particular amino acid; and 'wobble' base-pairing, i.e. permitting non-standard base-pairing at the 3rd anti-codon position. Lineage: Eukaryota; Metazoa; Nematoda; Chromadorea; Rhabditida; Metastrongylidae. The record is from Rfam by way of RNAcentral.
GCCUCGGUAGUGUAAUGGAUCAGCACGGCAGUCCGAAUAUCUGUAGGUAUGGGUUCGAGUCCCAUCUGAGGUU